GCUCGCUUCAGAGGAACAUAUACUAAAAUUGGAACGACACAGGGAAGAUUAGCAUGGCCCUUGCUCAAGGAUGACACAUAAAGUAUACUUGGAUGGAAAUCUUUG
Small nuclear RNA from Hippopotamus amphibius kiboko, 105 nucleotides. NCBI's taxonomy places the organism in Eukaryota, Metazoa, Chordata, Mammalia, Artiodactyla, Hippopotamidae. The record is from RefSeq and is a predicted model, not a curated record.